This 164-nucleotide ribosomal RNA is filed under the name Leymus cinereus. RNAcentral's name for it is "5.8S ribosomal RNA". It matches the Rfam family "5.8S ribosomal RNA". From Rfam's summary of the family: 5.8S ribosomal RNA (5.8S rRNA) is a component of the large subunit of the eukaryotic ribosome. It is transcribed by RNA polymerase I as part of the 45S precursor that also contains 18S and 28S rRNA. Lineage: Eukaryota; Viridiplantae; Streptophyta; Magnoliopsida; Poales; Poaceae. The record is from RNAcentral.
CCACACGACUCUCGGCAACGGAUAUCUCGGCUCUCGCAUCGAUGAAGAACGUAGCGAAAUGCGAUACCUAGUGUGAAUUGCAGAAUCCCGCGAACCAUCGAGUCUUUGAACGCAAGUUGCGCCCGAGGCCACUCGGCCGAGGGCACGCCUGCCUGGGCGUCACG